This 468-nucleotide ribosomal RNA is filed under the name uncultured bacterium. RNAcentral's name for it is "partial 16S ribosomal RNA". It matches the Rfam family "Bacterial small subunit ribosomal RNA", at positions 28 to 507 of the family's 1533-position model. The record is from RNAcentral.
GACGAACGCUGGCGGCGUGCUUAACACAUGCAAGUCGAACGGAAAGGCCCUGCUUUUGUGGGGUGCUCGAGUGGCGAACGGGGGAGUAACACGUGAGUAACCUGCCCUUGACUUUGGGAUAACUUCAGGAAACUGGGGCUAAUACCGGAUAGGAGCUCCUGCUGCAUGGUGGGGGGUGGAAAGUUUCGGCGGUUGGGGAUGGACUCGCGGCUUAUCAGCUUGUUGGUGGGGUAGUGGCUUACCAAGGCUUUGACGGGUAGCCGGCCUGGGAGGGUGACCGGCCACAUUGGGCCUGCGAUACGGCCCAGACUCCUACGGGAGGCAGUAGUGGGGAAUAUUGCACAAUGGGCGGAAGCCUGAUGCAGCAACGCCGCGUGCGGGAUGACGGCCUUCGGGUUGUAAACCGCUUUCGCCUGUGACGAAGCGUGAGUGACGGUAAUGGGUAAAGAAGCACCGGCUAACUACGUG